CUUCUAUCCCGUCUCUAUGGUAGAGCCGGUUUCAGAGGCGGCAGUGGUGUUGGCGACUUCGGUGAAGAAAAGUGAGAGUUCCAACUUUGCUCUUGGCCCGGGAGGGUUUUGGCGCGGAGCGUUGUCAUGUCAGAGAAAAAGCAGCCAGUAGAUUUGGGUCUCUUGGAGGAGGACGACGAGUUCGAGGAGUUCCCUGCGGAAGACUGGGCUGGUUUGGAUGAGGAUGAAGAUGCACAUGUCUGGGAGGAUAAUUGGGAUGAUGACAAUGUAGAGGAUGACUUCUCCAAUCAGUUACGAGCUGAACUAGAGAAACAUGGUUAUAAGAUGGAGACUUCAUAGCAUCCAGAAGUAUUGAAGCAACCUAAACUUGAACUGUUUAUUAAAUUCUAGGAUGGAGAACCCAGGAUGGGACACUUAAAAAAGAAAUAUGUUUAUUUCAUUAGCAGCUUGGAUUUAUUUUUGUUUUUGUAACACACAAAA
Non-coding RNA from Puma concolor (puma), 480 nucleotides. Lineage: Eukaryota; Metazoa; Chordata; Mammalia; Carnivora; Felidae. The record is from RefSeq and is a predicted model, not a curated record.